GAUUAAAUGGCUGAAAUUUAGGCAAUAGACUGUAAAUCUAUUCAUGAGGUGUAUUCUCUUUAAUCA
RNAcentral lists this transfer RNA (66 nucleotides) under Hydrophoria lancifer. RNAcentral describes it as "tRNA-Tyr". It matches the Rfam family "tRNA". From Rfam's summary of the family: Transfer RNA (tRNA) molecules are approximately 80 nucleotides in length. Their secondary structure includes four short double-helical elements and three loops (D, anti-codon, and T loops). The record is from RNAcentral. Lineage: Eukaryota; Metazoa; Arthropoda; Insecta; Diptera; Anthomyiidae.